GGAUACGGCGGUGGAUAUGGACACGGAUAUGGAAACGGAUAUGGACAUGGCUAUCCGGGUUCAUACGGCAAUCCUUAUGAGUAUGGUGGAUAUCCACAUUUCGGCGGCUAUCCUCAUUUAAGUGGUGGCUAUGGGGGAUAUGGCUAUGGCUACGGGUCAGUAUUUGCUACCUUAUUAUGGCUAAUCCCAGUUGACCUCUAUUACGUCGUGCUUCUUUUCUCUGUCUAUUUAUGUAAACGAAUCUAAAAGAAAUAUAAAUGACCUUC
This is a long non-coding RNA of Daphnia pulicaria, 266 nucleotides long. RefSeq lists it as uncharacterized. Lineage: Eukaryota; Metazoa; Arthropoda; Branchiopoda; Diplostraca; Daphniidae. The transcript has 3 exons. The record is from RefSeq and is a predicted model, not a curated record.